Molecule: long non-coding RNA, 3080 nt
Filed under: Homo sapiens (human)
Lineage: Eukaryota; Metazoa; Chordata; Mammalia; Primates; Hominidae
Description: HSALNT0396227
Source: RNAcentral
CAGGAAGAGAAACCCAACCCAGAGGCCACUGGGUGUGGAGGAGGGACAGAUAGGGCCCUCCGAGUUUCUGUAGACGCGGUUGCGCUAAGGGGAGAGCUGCCUUGAUAAGACCUCUUGGGCACCCAUACAACUGCCAAGGCACAGAAGGUGUUUGGCCGUCUUAGGCAUCCAUAGGAUGUUACACGGCACUAGUUCUUCCCAUCUAGGGUCUUCUUGGGGGGUGCUUUUCUCUCUUUGCCAGGAUCUGCUUGUGUCCUGGGGAUCGGGGGCUCCCUUUUACUAGCUCUGCCCCUUCCCCUGUGGGCCAGCUCCCAGGGGUAUCUUCAGCCAGUGCCAGCCACGACCUGAGCCCCACUUGGCUGUCUGACCUGGGCGCCUGCCCCCUGGGGCCGCUGCUCCCUCUCCAUUCUUCCAACUUGGCCAGAGCCUGGGCCUUAGUCUUUUUUCUUGGCCCUCUCAGCUCUCCCAAUGGCUUUGCCAUCUUUGGGUGUAGAUUCCCCCAACUCCACUCCAGGGUUCAUUCUGGAUCCCUGGCCUCUUGGGAGGAGGCGGACUCUGUCCUGCCCUGGCACAGAGAUGGUACCACAGGGGACUGCAGGAUGCUUAACUGGUGCCUCCCAAGGCCUGGGCAUUUUCCUGACCCCAGUCGGGCCGGCGUCUGGCAGAUGAAAUCCAGGUGCCCCCUGCAGGCUGGCCUGGCUACUGCCCCUGCCCCUGCCCCACCCUUCUAAGAGGGCAAAUUUUGUCUAACUCCAUCCUCUCAGAAUCAGAGCGCCUCAAAGCAAAGAGGGACUUCCUUCCUCAUCUUAUUUCCUUCUCUGGGAGCCUCUGGGAGGAAGUACAGCUUCGGGCGUUUCUCAACGUGUGACAUAGUCCCAUUGGCAGAACAUGACAUGAUUUUCGGGAUGUUUCAUUUAUCUAGUUACACUGUAUUUAAUGCGUAUCAGAGAAAAUAUAACUGGCAUGGCAAUCCCAUGAUUUCAUUUAUAUUAUUGUUUAGAAUGAGCUCCAAGUUUACAUCUGAACACAAGUGAGUAAAACUUUUAUUAUUUUAAAUUAAGAAAAUAUGAUAGAGUAAAAAUCUGGGAGGCUGCUGAAAAAUGUCAAAGUCGGGGAAUUCUGGGGUCCAAGAAGUUUGCUGGUAGAUGGAUCUGGAUGUGAAUCCUGCCUCUGUGACAUCAUCUAUGUCAUGGAUGUCAUUUCUACCAGAGGGCUCCUUUGGAAAAUUUGGAUAACAGCCCGUUAUGAAAGUCACCAGAGUAGGUAUCUCUAUCCGCCUGGCCAUUUAGCCUGUGGCACAGCCUAGAUGCCCAAUAAAUAGUAGCUCUAUUUUACCAUGAUCAUUCAUUCCUGGGUGUCUGACCUGUGCUCUGAGAGAAUCAGUGGUUCCUUCCAGAGCCUCUGAUCUUUUUCUUGGGAUCCUUUUUCUUGUGUGGCUUUCCACCCCCCACCACAUGUGUCUGAUAGCCUUGAAGGUUUUCCAGGACUGUCAUCUCCCCAACUUUCAACUGAGCUACCGCAAUAUAUAGCUGCCUGCCUCUACCUUCCACCUCCCAGCUGGCCUCACCUGCUGGGGGCCUGACUCCUCCCCCCCCGGCCAAGUCCCCUCCAAGCUCAUGCCCAGACCUUUUUUGGACACUACCCACCUGCUCCUCUGUCAUCAGGCACUCAGCUACAGGCAUUUCCCUCCCCAGCCCCCACCCAUUGGUGACAUGUCAGGCCUCUUCAUGAUCGCUCUGUGACUCUGAGUUCUGCUAUUUGAAUCCGUAUGGGAAUAAAGUUCCCUGGCUUUCAUACCUUUCUGGGAGGGGGCAUUCAGGAAACUCAGAUGCUGGGGUUUGAGACCAAAAACUGGCCUUCCUUUUCGACCAAUAGUUCCGACUAUUUCUGGGUAAGUGGACAGGGGAUCCCAGCUGCCUUCCAGCUUUCAGACUGGAGUGACAACAAUUUAAGAGCUGUAAAAAUUGGGAAUGGGGUUCAAGACCAUUUCUGAUGGUAUUUCCAGAUAGAGAAUCUCUUUCUCUGGCUGGCUGGAAAAGACCAACCUAAUGUGUGGGCAAGUGGGUGAAACAGGUCUCUCUCUGGCUGAGCCCUGGGAAUGAUCAGAAUCACUAGACGUCAAAGCAAAUCACUAGACGUCACCCAUUACUCUCUUUGACUGCCUCCUCCUCCCCAGUGCUCUUUCUGACCAUCUCAGUUAGAACCGAAUGAACCUCGCUAAACCCAGACACUUUUCAUCCCAAGCCAGGAGUGGUGGAAGAAGCCCCAGGGACUGGGUGAAUGACGGAGCCUCAGUUGUGAAACGACCAUUUAUUGAGGGGCCCUCCAUGGAGCCUAGAGCUCACUGCAAGACAGGAAAUGAGAGGGGGCUCUGCCACCACCCCCUUACCCCAACGCAGGAAAGAGGAUGCAAUGAAUCCCAACAAGACCAGCUCAAACUUGGCUUUGGAAGCACUGAAGCAAUUCUCUACGUUCAUAAACAGUCUGCUACCCCAGCCAGGGACAGACGCUUGCUUGGAGGACGGAGCACAAGCAGAGCAGCAGAAUGACAGAGUGACAGGAUGAGAGAGGCAGAGGGACCCAGAAAGAUCCUGUCCCCCAUGCCAAGUGACACAGAAGAAAAAAAUAAUGCUGGAGGUGGCUCUGGGAAAUGUUCAGGGGGCAGGAUGGGUUUGGAAGGGGGGGCUGUGCUAAGGUGAAGAGGGAAAGGGCAGGAGAAAGAUGGCGGGGGCUGGAGGGGGGAGGGGUGUGGUCAGCAAGUGGCCAAGGUCCCUGCGCGGUGGAGGCAGACAGACCUCAUCGCAUUCCCAAACUGGUAGAAACCUGGGUCGGGGUCAGGCAGAGGAUCCCAUAGGUGAGAGAGAUCAACCACAGUUCCAGGGAGGGAGAGUCAGAGCCUUUCUGUGAACUAUGGGGAAAUGGCUGACCACUCCGCCUCUGGAUGGAUAGAUACAUGGACAGCUGGUUUAAGUUUUGACAAAGAAAAACCCCUCCUGGAACCUCAGUCUGGAAUACAACUGUAGAACCAAUUAAGACUGGAGUAGGAAGCUGGAAAGAAGACGUGGGACAGCCAACCCACU